Molecule: long non-coding RNA, 378 nt
Organism: Amphimedon queenslandica
Lineage: Eukaryota; Metazoa; Porifera; Demospongiae; Haplosclerida; Niphatidae
Exons: 3
Source: RefSeq, a predicted model, not a curated record
UUCAUGCUUGAAUGCUGAAUCAGCAAUAUUGCCCAUAACGCCCAAAUCUGAUAUCAGUAGUCUACUGUUACCUUAUGAUCAAAGCAGAACUGCACAGGCCAACUGAGGUAGUGACUUUUUGCUGUCCUAUAUAGAGAAUAUGUGAGGGAGACAGGCAUGAAGUCUGUGUCAAUUUCAUCUUGUUCUGACUUCUGGUGAUUAUGUUUGUCUGUCAAUGGAGACAGGAAUGUACAUGCAUGGCUAUACGUACAUGUAUGUAUGCUAAAUACUAGUAACAAUGCAUAGUUUGAAGAUUUAUAUGAUUGAAAUGAAAGUUAUGAAACUGAUCCUAAUAUGCUGGGGAAGCAUUUUAGUAGUGAUACCUGUACUAUAUAGACA